RNAcentral lists this small nuclear RNA (24 nucleotides) under Arabidopsis thaliana (thale cress). Its description in RNAcentral is "snRNA_00280". Lineage: Eukaryota; Viridiplantae; Streptophyta; Magnoliopsida; Brassicales; Brassicaceae. The record is from RNAcentral.
ACUCAUCUUAUAAAUAUAUAGAGA